ACUCAAAUGAAUUGACGGGGACCCGCACAAGCGGUGGAUGAUGUGGAUUAAUUCGAUGCAACGCGAAAAACCUUACCUACCCUUGACAUGGACGGAAUCCUUGAGAGAUCGAGGAGUGCUCGAAAGAGAGCCGUCACACAGGUGCUGCAUGGCUGUCGUCAGCUCGUGUCGUGAGAUGUUGGGUUAAGUCCCGCAACGAGCGCAACCCUUGUCAUUAGUUGCUACGAAAGGGCACUCUAAUGAGACUGCCGGUGACAAACCGGAGGAAGGUGGGGAUGACGUCAAGUCCUCAUGGCCCUUAUGGGUAGGGCUUCACACGUCAUACAAUGGUACAUACAGAGGGCCGCCAACCCGCGAGGGGGAGCUAAUCCCAGAAAGUGUAUCGUAGUCCGGAUUGUAGUCUGCAACUCGACUGCAUGAAGUUGGAAUCGCUAGUAAUCGCGGAUCAGCAUGUCGCGGUGAAUACGUUCCCGGGUCUUGUACACACCGCCCGU
Molecule: ribosomal RNA, 494 nt
Filed under: uncultured bacterium
Lineage: Bacteria
Description: partial 16S ribosomal RNA
Rfam family: Bacterial small subunit ribosomal RNA
Source: RNAcentral